UUAAUAUAUAUAAAUAAUAAAAGAAAAGUACAUAAGUAAGGAGUUUAACAAACAUAUGUAUUUAACUAGUGUUGAUAUAUUAUAUUUAUACAUUUAAAAAAUGUAGUCGUGCAUAUCUUUAAAAACCAACAAAACAUGAAUUUUGGUUUUUCAUUGAAAACUUGGUUAAACAUCUAAAAUCUAGUUUCCCUAUUUUAUAGGAAAACUCUUUUGUUCAAAUCUUGAUUGGCAACAAAGUCAGUUUUAGUUUUUCUAAAUUGUAAGGAAUCACUUUGGGAAAAUUUCAUGUUUACCACUUUCAUGGUACCACUUUUUAUCUUUACCACAACUAAAAGGACAUUUUCAAAAAUACAUUUUUCAUUAAGUGGCAAAAGACUCUUAUAUCAUUGUUUUCAAUAUAUAUAAUAAAUCAUUAUUUAAAUAAAAAAAAAUUAGUUUUCAACUUAUACUUUUUCAAAUUCGAAUUUUUUUUAUAACUUUGUUUUUGAUUUUUUUUUUUGAUUUUCUUCAAAAUUUCUUUUUGAAAAUCAAAAAAUUAUCUUUGAAACUAUUUUAAAAUAUUUUUUUAUAUUUUUA
This 576-nucleotide long non-coding RNA is filed under the name Brassica napus (rape). RNAcentral's name for it is "long non-coding RNA (BNAP_LNC022325)". Lineage: Eukaryota; Viridiplantae; Streptophyta; Magnoliopsida; Brassicales; Brassicaceae. The record is from RNAcentral.